Sinocyclocheilus grahami is the source of this 2958-nucleotide long non-coding RNA. RefSeq lists it as uncharacterized. The record is from RefSeq and is a predicted model, not a curated record. The transcript is spliced from 2 exons. NCBI's taxonomy places the organism in Eukaryota, Metazoa, Chordata, Actinopteri, Cypriniformes, Cyprinidae.
UGAGAUCAAAGAUGCAUUGGGUUUCUUGAUCAAAUGUCACCGUAUGUAAAUGAAGCCGUCAGGAGCACAAACCAGAGACAUGAUAAAGGCUUUUAAUCUUCUUGAAAAUGCCUGUCAUGAAUUGCUCAUUUAAAUAACUCAAGACACCGAGUCUAUCGAGAAAAACAUCAGUCUGUUCUGAUGAAGAGAAAACACAUCAAGCUCCUGCAGUCACACGCUUCAGGACCUGAACACUGCUUUCACUCAGGUCCAGUAUAAGAUGCUGCGAUUCUUCUGCUGUGGGAUUUUAAAUAUGACAUGGACAAGCAGCAUGGAAAAGCUUGUUUAGUUGAUGAUGAUUUCAGCACUGAUGCACCACACCUGAAGUCUUCUCAAGACAUGAAAAACUGGUUAUUCUCUAAACAUCUCGGCCUUCAUACCAUUUCAACACAUACUACUCACAACUGGCAUAUUGUGAUGUUGAUGAGUUUCAGUGAUUCCCUCGGUUUGCUUCUGAAGAGCCGUACAGCACGUGAGCUGGAUAUAGUACUUUUCUGCUGUUUCCCAAAAGAAAUCAAAUCCUAACUCUGUCUUUUAUACGGACAUGUUUCAGAGAGGCAGAAAGCACAGAUCAUCCUCCAUUAGCAGCACUGAAAGCCCGUGUUCACUAAUUCGGACAUGCACUAGUGUGUUUGUCUUCUCUGUUGAUGUCAUUUGUUCAGAUAACAACAGAAAACACAGAGAAGCAGCGGCUCUCUGGAGUUCAGAGGUCAGUCAGUGAAGCAUUAACCAGCCGCCGUAAAUCCCUCUCAAUCAUCACGGGUUUCAGCUUUGCCUCAGAGCUCAGAGUCCAGCUCCAGAGACCGAGCUGAUGUCCACUGCAGCGGCGUUCCUGAGCGAGGUCCCGGGAUGGUUUCUGUGGACGGGAGUCUUCUUCCCCGUGACGGCUCUCCUGCUGCUGCUCAUCGCUCUCCUCAGCUGGAAACUCCGAGAGACAGAGGAACAGCUGGCCGUGACACCAGACCCGUGGCAAACAGCCUAUCAUCUGUGUUACGGGCCGCGCUGCAGACACAGGACAGAGCGGACAAGACGAGCAUGAAACACACAGAACACCUGUGAAGAGUCGGUCCAGAUCACCUGAGCCAUCAGAGACGAACGAGAAGCGUGCAUGUGACCACAUCAAGCUAGAUUUAGACGCACCUCUCCUCACACGACAGACUGGAAGUCAUGAGACACACAUGCAUAUUAUUCAAAAAGAAAAGUUUCCAUGUAGUCUGCUGUACUCAUCUUCAAAUGCGUGUUGUGUUUGUAAUGACUAUCAUUACCAGUUAUGUUGAGCCUCUUCCUUUACUGUUCCAACAGCAAAAUCAUGUUCUUUACAGUAUCCUACUCAACUACAUCAGAAAUGGCUGACGACAUGAAUGUCAAAGAUGUCUGAGGACACAUCUUCACACUUAAGGCUUCAACUUUAUCAAGAGUAAUGAGCAAAUACCAGAGACAGAAAUCUCCUGUUCUGCGCUAUAUUUAAUGGAGCCGCACAGCAGGAUGAACUUAAAGAGUACGCUGUGUCACGCAGCAGGACACAAAAACAGCUUGUGUGCUCUCAGACAUCACAACACUCUCAAGGUCUUGCAAGGUUUUAGUUGUAUUUCACAGCUCUCCUUAUUCUGAUUGUUCAGUCACAGCACAGCGACUGACUGAAAUAAAAACGGCCUCGGGAGAACUUCAGUAGUACUUUUACAAUGAAUAAAAAUGGUUUGAGAAUCUCCAGUUAAAGCAAGAAAAACACAAACCAUCUAGCUCAGAAUGCAUAUGAAUAUAAAUGAAUAUUGUAAUGUUUGUGUUGUUGUAGUGGACUAUCACUUGUAUCAUGCAUACAUUUCAGCUUCCAGCCAGUCACUUUAUUUUAUUGACCAAUGCCAAUUUUUACAUGCAUCUGGAGCUUGGCGUGAAUUAAAGGUGCAUUCAGCAGUUUGGUGCUUUUUUAUUUAUUGUUUUUAGUUUUUACCCAUUAAGAAAUAAAUAGUGUUUUUGUUUAGAGUCAUCUGAAUGGUGCACGCUCACAGGAGAUGAAGAUUGCACUUAAUCAUUUCAUACACAAACCAUUUUAAUUAUAUGGUGAAUUCAGGUCAAAUGGGACACUUACGACCAUCGAGAUGAAUGGGGAAAAACCCUAUUAACCCUGGUGCAAAUCACCUCAGCGAAGCUCAUGUUGAAAUGACCCGCGGUGUUUCACUAAACGAAGGAGGAAACCUCUCGUAGAGCAGUUUGAUGUGAAGAGUGAAAAUUAGACAAUGGAACACUUAUCUUGCUUGAUCAUGAAUCAGAACCUGUAUGACCAAAGAAGCAAAAAAGCCCUAAAGCCAGAAGAAAGAGUGACUAAAAGUGUAAACAAUGGUUUGGCAGACACACUGGCAUACAGUUUAAUGACAUACGGAGAAUCCUGAGUAGUGACACCCAAGCUGCUUCUUUUGUCCUGGACAGGUAAAGGACUCAUUAUCAUGUGUAGACGCUAGCAUGAAUGUGUCACGCUGACGGAUGCUACUGCAGCAUCUAACAUCACUGCUACAACAGUGAUGCUAACGCUAACUAAACAACUACUGUAUGCACCUUGAAUUUUGGACCCCGAGUGCAACCAUCCCAUCAAACCCCCCACAAACACAAAGCUUCACACACACCCAGUCACUGAAGAUCAAGCCGUCUCACGAUUAUUAGAGAAUAAACAAAUUUUAAUUGGAAGAGUGUUACACAAAGGGUCGGGUGGGGCAUAAAAACAUGACAGAUCAUCCAAAGCUGCUUAAAAAAAAGAACAGAGUCAAUUCUACCAUUAACUGCUAUACACAGGGCUGAUGGAGCAGAUGGGAGAGAGAGAGAGAGAGAGAGAGAGAGAGAGAGAGAGAGCAGGGAGCACGGGCCUCGCUCGACCGCUAAAAACAUCAGCACUGGCAGUUCAAUCUCAUUUGUUCAUUUAAUCACAAG